RNAcentral lists this long non-coding RNA (5387 nucleotides) under Sus scrofa (pig). RNAcentral's name for it is "lncRNA (ENSSSCG00000055592.1)". The record is from RNAcentral. Lineage: Eukaryota; Metazoa; Chordata; Mammalia; Artiodactyla; Suidae.
AAAUGUCUUUGAUCUUAGGCCAGAGGGCAUAAUAGAAGAAAUUAUAUUUUACGUUAAGAUUUUCUUUACCAAAAUCUUCAGUUCCUAGAUUUUCUUGACUUCUUUUCCCCCAAUGGUAGCUCCCUUAAUAUUUUUGCAAAAAGAAAAAAAAAAAAAAGGAUUUAAAUACUUAAAAAAAAAAAAACCCAAGAAACUUGUUGGAAUGUGAGAUUUUGAAGCACAUGCAUCUUAUGUUUUAAAAAACAUAGUACUUUGUGUUUGAAGGUGGGAUAUUUUUUGAACACGAAAGGCACUUUAUAGUACACGAGCAGCUUCCAACGGGGGUUGCUGGAAAGCGAUGUGCUGAGACUGUUGUCUGUACAGAAUCAAGACCUCCCAGGGGAGCUGAGCUCUACAUGCCUCGACCUGAUUAGGUCUAAACUGUGGGUGGGUGGCUGGGUGGAGGGGUGCAUGAACGCAGGGUGCUGUCUUUCUCUCUCUCUCUCAAGUUCUCCAAAUAGGAACAGCUCAGUCCCUGAGAGCCUCCCUCACCUCACUGCAGACUCCAGCCUGAGUGGGCAGCUGUAGAGAUAUCUUAUCAAUUGUGGGGGUCACAACCUAAAAUAUCCUUGCAGGGCAUAUGGUCUUUCAAUUGCGAAUUUAAAAAAUCAUUUCAUUUACCUUUUGCCUAGGCUUUCUUAAGACAUCAUUUGGUAGGUAGGGCAGGAGAGGGCUGCCUUAGCGCUCACAGGGGCCACAUGCAUGCACGGUUCUGGGCCCACACACAUGCAUGCACCUGCCUUGGUGCCAUGGGGUUCAGCCAAAGCUGUCAGUCUCUAACCACCCACCUUCGCCCCCACAAGGCUUGCCAGGUGCCUUCUGGUAUGAUCCUUUUCCCACAAAGGGCUCCUGUGGGAAGAGUGUUCUGGACCAUUCUUCUCACUUUGCUUCCAGCUUUGAUUGAGUUUGAAAAGGUGCAGAGCCUCCUGAAGGUAGCCUGGGUUAGAUUCUCUGUCUUGUCCCCACUGCCUCACCCAAGGUCUGGCCCCCUGCUCCUAGCUCAUUUGUUUCAUUUAUUGAGCAGCAUGAAACAAUCCUGAGUAAAUGUCAGGCUUUGCAGCCUGGCUCUGUCGUUAUCCAGCAUCUAAGAUGUUGGUCCCGCACUAAUUUACCCCAUUUAAUAUAUUUCUCAUUCCCUGUAAACCCCAUACGGAGAAGCUUCACAGUUGGGAGACCUGUGCUACCUCCAGAACCUGCCUGGUUGAACCUCGCAGUGAUCGAAGGCGAGAGCUGCAUCCAGGCUGCCAUUCUCUUUGCUGCCCACCCACACCGAGUGCCUGCUGGGAACAUGGGCUCUGCGUGAUUCUCUCUUUCUGUCUCGCUCUCUCUCACAGAGUCCUCUUUUUCUUUCUAAAGCUAGCUGUCUCCUUGUCUAGACAACCCCCUCUUCCAUCUCCAGAUGGCUUUGUCUGGGAAACCCAUACACUUUCUCACUACCAAGAACUCCUUCCCCAAGAUGCACAGGCAAUUAAACUUCUCUGACUCUCGUGGUGUUACUCCAGUGUGUAAGCAUUUGCCAAGGAAUUAAGACUUUGCCAGGAGGAAACGACAGUCUUCUCAUUUCGUGAAUUGCUUUGGGGUGGUUAUUCCUUUCAGUGGUUAAGACCAUGGUCAGGAUGGGCAUCUCAAAAGCAAGGCUCUGGUCUGUUAAGAUUCCCAGAGACUUUCUAUCAUGUACUUGUAGGGCGCCUGGAUUUUAGGAAAUGAAUUUCCUCAAGAUCAGGUAAAUUGGAAGAUACAAAAAGGGCCAUCCAGAGGCAUGAUUUAUGUCUCAUAAAAUAAAAAAAGAAGCUCUUUUUUUUUUAAUAUCAGCUUUCGUCUGAUUUUAAUUCAGCUUUCUGAUGAGAUCCACCUGCAGUGUCUAUAUUUGUUUUUUUUUCCAGCCAAGGUGCUUGCAGACUCUCUGGUUUCCAGAUCUCAGGGUCAUGAUCUGUUAUGUUACUCUGUGACUCAUCAAACCUCUCAUCCGGCAAAAGUUGGCCUGGGCGGCUCUCCCCCAAGGACAGUUUUUACUAUAGGCAUUUCCUAAACUCUGUGACAUGAUAUGGCAAUCAGUCAGUUCCGAUCAGUGAUGCACUAACAGAUCCCAAGGUUUUCUAAUGAUUUCCUUUUUAUUUGGUCUAAAGUAGCUUGGAAUUUAUCCCUACGAUACUCCUCAUUGCCUUGUGAUAUUCUUUCUUAGGAGGCAGGGAGAGGGGUUAGAGUUGAAGCCAGCCACACCAUGAGUGGCCAAUCUGCUGUGGCUGUUGCCGACGUGCCAGUAAAAGUUUUGAGAAUUGCCAGUUAUAUUAAUGCCUACAUCACAAUUAGUAACAAAACAGCAGAAAAGUUGACGAUGCAAGUAAUAUUUGCAAUAACAUGAUUCAUAUUCAUUACAGUUAAAAAAAGCCUAUAAAUUCAAUGUAAUUUGAAACAAUAAAAUAGUAUAUCCUUGUGCUUGUUUCUUCAGUAAUGCAUGUCUUUUGUUUAAUUAACUUUACCGGUAGAGUAGCUUUGGGAAAAGGGACUCGCAUUUAAAACAAUUGCUUGAAAUGAUAGUAACUGUACUCACUUUUUCCCACAAAAAAUGACAAAAUUUUGAGGUCUUGUAGAUUGCUGUUUCUUGAUCCAUAUGCCUCUGAAAUACAUUUAUAAAUGCCAUGGCGAAAAUUCUAUCAUACUCUCAGUUUAUUUUAUCAAAUUUGAUCUUGUCAAAAAUAGGUUGGGCUUUGGGAAUAUGUCAUAUGUGAACCUCAUCUGUCAGAUAUGUUGUGGAGAAAAUAAAGGUCAAGAACUGUGUUUCUAGAGAUAAUAAACUGUAUGAAUCAAAGGGAAAAAUGCCUGUUCAAGAGCAUUUAUAACUUUUAUCGAUAUUGUUAAAAAUAACCAAACAAACCCUGAAAGAAUCAGGUAGCCCAAAAGGAUUUCUCUUAUCAUUACAGGAGACGGCACUCUUCAUUAUUCGCCUCCCACAGUCUUUGAGAUAGACAUCAUAGAUCAAAUUAAAAGCACCUAUGAUCCUAGAUUUUGCUAUUUGCACAGUAAGAAAAGUGGUUAAAAUUUAGAGAUAAGGAGUUCCUAUCGUGGCUGGACAGGUUAAGAACUCAGCUUGUAUCCUUGAGGAUGCAAAUUUGAUUCCUGGCCUUGAUCAGUGGGUUAAGGAUCCAGCGUCCCCACAAUCUGUGGUGUAGAUCGCAGGUGUGGCCCGGAUUUGGCAUUGUCGUGGCUGUGGCAUAGGCUGGCAGCUGCAGCUCCUAUUUGACCCCUAGCCUGGGAACUUCCUCAUGCUACAGGUGUGGCUGUAAAAAGAAAAAAAAAAAAAAAGAUAAAGAAAAGAUCUCUUUCUUUCUUUCUUUUUUUUUUUUGCUAUUUCUUGGGCCGCACCCACGGCAUAUGGAGGUUCCCAGACUAGGGGUUGAAUCAGAGCUGCAGCCACUGGCCUACACCAGAGCCACAGCAACGCUGGCCCGAGCUGUGUUUGCAACCUACACCACAGCUCACAGCAACCCCGGAUCGUUAACCCACUGAGCAAGGCCAAGGACCGAACCCGCAACCUCAUGGUUCCUAGUCGGAUUCGUUAACCACUGCGCCAUGACGGGAACUCCCUCUUUAUUUCUAAUAGUAUUCUUCUAUAGUCUAUAGACCACUUCUCACUGGUUAAGCAGGAAUGGCAAUAAUAAACCAACCCCUUAAGUCAUUAUGAGAAUUUAAUUUAAUGAUUUAACACAAGUAUACAGCAUGACAUAUAGCACAAUAAGUAUUGGCUGUUAUCCUUAUCGAGCCCAGGCUGGGGAUGAUUCUUCAAGACCAGUAUUCAAAUUCCUUUUUGAUCACAGGAAUGAAAAGCAAUUAUUUGCUGGUAGACUAGAUUUCAGUAUCCAAUGGUAGGAACAGUAUAAUAUUUAAAUGUCCCUUCGUUUUUAUUUAUCUUACUAUUACAACUUCCAGAUUUAUCCCGUGAAUGACCUGACGUACUUGAAUAGAAAAACAUUCCUCUUUAGGCUGAAGACAUUCAAUUUCCAUCUCCAGCUCCAGAAAGCAGCUGUUCUUAUCACAUUAUUGUCCUGAGGAGCCACUUUAUAUAAACGAUGCCAAAGCUAUUGUUGUUUUGUUAAUAAUUCUCCAGCAAGAAUGAGCAGUGCCUUCCUGGGACCUAAGGGCACAUUUUAAGAUUAAUUUCUCAUGGAAGAUCUUUGAAAAGUCAGUGCUACUGAAGACCAAACAUGGAAUAAUGCUUGAGCUCUUUCUUUCUUUCCCUUUUUUUUUUUUUUUUUUUUUUUUGUCCGUUUGUCUUUCUAGGGCCGCACUAGUGGCAUAUGGAGGUUCCCAGGCUAGGGGAUCUAAUCGGAGCUGUAGCCGCCAGCCUACGCCACAGCCACAGCAAUGCCAGAUCUGAGCCUCGUCUGUGACCUACUCCACAGCUCACGGCAACGCCAGAUCCCUAACCCACUGAGCGAGGCCAGGGAUCGAACCUGCAACCUCAUGGUUCCUAGUCGGAUUUGUUAACCACUGAGCCAUGAUGGGAACUCUGGUUUUUCUUUUUUUUGGUUUAAGGUGGUAAUACCCGUUCCUAAAAUAUUUAGGCUUAUGACAUCUCUGGUGGUAUUUUCCAAGAUAUGUUCCAUGAGAUGCUAGUCUUGCAAGAUGCUCCAAGAAAUGAGUGCACUGUGAUCAGAUAAGUUUACUGCCCAUUCUGGGUCCGUUUUGGAAAGUCCACAUUACAUGUCAGCUAGUUGCAAGCUCUGAGCAGUCCUUUUGUUUGUUUGUUUGUUUGUUUGUUUGUUUAGGGCCACACCCUAAGCAUAUGGAAGUUUCCAGGAUAGAAGUCGAAUCAGAACUACAGCUGCCAGCCACAGCCAUAGCCACACCAGAUUCUAGCAGUGUCUGGGACCUACACCACAACUCAUGGCAAUGUUGGAUCCUUAACCCACUGAACAAGGCCAGGGAUCGAACCUGCAUCCUCAUGGAUACUAGUCGGAUUCAUUACCGCUGAGCCAUGACAGAAACUCUUGAGAAGUCUUAGGGUAAAAAAAAUACUGGGAGAAAUAGUUUCUUUGAUGCAGUAUUUUGAAGUUUAAAACAGGCACCCUUUUCAGGUACUUGAGCAGAUCCAAAGCUGCAUCCUGAUGCCAUUUCAGGCCCUAGAAGCAGCUGCGGCUGACUUGUGUGGAGGCGAGGUGACCCUUUACCCAGGCAGGGAUUGUAGAUGGUUCUUCUGCUUCUGUAAUGGAAAAUGUUAGCUUCGCACUCUCAUAUUUGGCAUCGUAAGUUCUUUCCUCAGGCAUGAACCCCAGGUUCCUGCACUACAAGUUUUUCCCUUAGAGUUUAAAGUUGAGGUAACUUCUCUCUAUAUCCUGGAACAGUUGCAG